RNAcentral lists this ribosomal RNA (497 nucleotides) under uncultured bacterium. RNAcentral's name for it is "partial 16S ribosomal RNA". It matches the Rfam family "Bacterial small subunit ribosomal RNA", at positions 28 to 507 of the family's 1533-position model. The record is from RNAcentral.
GAUGAACGCUGGCGGCGUGCCUAAUACAUGCAAGUCGAGCGAACGGACGAGAAGCUUGCUUCUCUGAUGUUAGCGGCGGACGGGUGAGUAACACGUGGAUAACCUACCUAUAAGACUGGGAUAACUUCGGGAAACCGGAGCUAAUACCGGAUAAUAUUUUGAACCGCAUGGUUCAAAAGUGAAAGACGGUCUUGCUGUCACUUAUAGAUGGAUCCGCGCUGCAUUAGCUAGUUGGUAAGGUAACGGCUUACCAAGGCAACGAUGCAUAGCCGACCUGAGAGGGUGAUCGGCCACACUGGAACUGAGACACGGUCCAGACUCCUACGGGAGGCAGCAGUAGGGAAUCUUCCGCAAUGGGCGAAAGCAUGACGGAGCGACGCCGCGUGAGUGAUGAAGGUCUUCGGAUCGUAAAACUCUGUUAUUAGGGAAAAACAUAUGUGUAAGUAACUGUGCACAUCUUGACGGUACCUAAUCAGAAAGCCACGGCUAACUACGUG